Non-coding RNA from Pelobates cultripes (western spadefoot toad), 201 nucleotides. Lineage: Eukaryota; Metazoa; Chordata; Amphibia; Anura; Pelobatidae. The record is from the annotation of a GenBank genome assembly.
UGGAUGAUGGGUGUGUGAGUGCUGGAUGAUGGGUGUGUGUGUGCUGGAUGAUGUGUGUGUGAGUGCUGGAUGAUGUGUGUGUGAGUUUUGGAUGAUGGGUGUGUGUGAGUGCUGGAUGAUGUGUGUGUGAGUGCUGGAUGAUGUGUGUGUGAGUUUUGGAUGAUGGGUGUGUGUGCUGGAUGAUGUGCGUGUGAGUGCUGG